This 475-nucleotide ribosomal RNA is filed under the name uncultured bacterium. RNAcentral's name for it is "partial 16S ribosomal RNA". It matches the Rfam family "Bacterial small subunit ribosomal RNA", at positions 355 to 823 of the family's 1533-position model. The record is from RNAcentral.
UGGGGAAUAUUGGACAAUGGGCGAAAGCCUGAUCCAGCCAUGCCGCGUGUGUGAAGAAGGUCUUCGGAUUGUAAAGCACUUUAAGUUGGGAGGAAGGGCAGUAAAUUAAUACUUUGCUGUUUUGACGUUACCGACAGAAUAAGCACCGGCUAACUCUGUGCCAGCAGCCGCGGUAAUACAGAGGGUGCAAGCGUUAAUCGGAAUUACUGGGCGUAAAGCGCGCGUAGGUGGUUCGUUAAGUUGGAUGUGAAAUCCCCGGGCUCAACCUGGGAACUGCAUUCAAACUGACGAGCUAGAGUAUGGUAGAGGGUGGUGGAAUUUCCUGUGUAGCGGUGAAAUGCGUAGAUAUAGGAAGGAACACCAGUGGCGAAGGCGGCUCUCUGGUCUGCAACUGACGCUGAGGCUCGAAAGCAUGGGUAGCGAACAGGAUUAGAUACCCUGGUAGUCCAUGCCGUAAACGAUGAGCGCUAGGUGU